UGAUGAUGAACUAAUGGGUGUUGGUUCAAGUGGUACAUACUUGAUUUCCCAAGAUGUUUGAGUCUUGUGAAUGGAAAAAAUGCUCGUUGGGAAAGUUAGCUCCACAUACUUGUGGAUGUUCCCGGCUCGGACAAGAUUGUCUCCAGUGCGAGGAUACUUGUAAGAAACAAAAAAAAGGAUAUUGAUGAGAAAUAAAGGGGAGAG
This 204-nucleotide long non-coding RNA is filed under the name Lupinus angustifolius (narrow-leaved blue lupine). RNAcentral describes it as "long non-coding RNA (LANG_LNC000153)". Lineage: Eukaryota; Viridiplantae; Streptophyta; Magnoliopsida; Fabales; Fabaceae. The record is from RNAcentral.